This 253-nucleotide ribosomal RNA is filed under the name uncultured bacterium. RNAcentral describes it as "partial 16S ribosomal RNA". It matches the Rfam family "Bacterial small subunit ribosomal RNA", at positions 524 to 776 of the family's 1533-position model. The record is from RNAcentral.
UACGAAGGGGGCUAGCGUUGCUCGGAAUGACUGGGCGUAAAGGGCGCGUAGGCGGCUCAUACAGUCAGGCGUGAAAUUCCUGGGCUCAACCUGGGGACUGCGCUUGAGACGUGUGGGCUUGAGUGGGGAAGAGGGUCGUGGAAUUCCCAGUGUAGAGGUGAAAUUCGUAGAUAUUGGGAAGAACACCGGUGGCGAAGGCGGCGAGCUGGGCAGUAGCUGACACUGAGGCGCGACAGCGUGGGGAGCAAACAGG